This 31-nucleotide non-coding RNA is filed under the name Rattus norvegicus (Norway rat). The record is from RNAcentral. Lineage: Eukaryota; Metazoa; Chordata; Mammalia; Rodentia; Muridae.
UAACCAUUGUAGCAGUACUUCCACUGUCCCA